This 204-nucleotide microRNA precursor is filed under the name Oryza rufipogon (brownbeard rice). Its description in RNAcentral is "MIR812 microRNA precursor family". It matches the Rfam family "MIR812 microRNA precursor family". The record is from Rfam by way of RNAcentral. Lineage: Eukaryota; Viridiplantae; Streptophyta; Magnoliopsida; Poales; Poaceae.
AAAAAGACAAACUCUGGUUUCCGUGUCCAAUGUUUGACCGUCCGUCUUAUUUAAAAAAAUUAUGAAAAAAAUUAAAAAGAUAAGUCACGCAUAAAAUAUUAUCAUGUUUUAUCAUCUAACAACAAUGAAAAUACUAAUUAUUAAAAAAAUUCAUAUAAGACGGACAGUCAAACGUUGGCACGGAAAUCCAGGGUUUGCCUUUUU